CAACUUUCAACAACGGAUCUCUUGGUUCUGGCAUCGAUGAAGAACGCAGCGAAAUGCGAUACGUAGUGUGAAUUGCAGAAUUCAGUGAAUCAUCGAAUCUUUGAACGCACAUUGCGCCCUUUGGUAUUCCAAAGGGCAUGCCUGUUCGAGCGUCAUUUGUACCCUCAAGCUUUGCUUGGUGUUGGGCGUUUUUGUCUUUGGCCCGCCAAAGACUCGCCUUAAAAUGAUUGGCAGCCGGCCUACUGGUUUCGCAGCGCAGCACAUUUUUGCGCUUGCAAUCAGCAAAAGAGGACGGCAAUCCAUCAAGACUCCUUCUCAC
Molecule: ribosomal RNA, 319 nt
Filed under: Curvularia spicifera
Lineage: Eukaryota; Fungi; Ascomycota; Dothideomycetes; Pleosporales; Pleosporaceae
Description: 5.8S ribosomal RNA
Rfam family: 5.8S ribosomal RNA (bases 2-155)
Source: RNAcentral